GGAGACGUGGCCGAGUGGUUAUGGCGCUGUAAGUUUACUAUACUAGUGGGUAAUUCCGCGUGGGUUCGAGUCCCACCGUCUUCA
Molecule: transfer RNA, 84 nt
Filed under: Sphaerulina populicola P02.02b
Lineage: Eukaryota; Fungi; Ascomycota; Dothideomycetes; Mycosphaerellales; Mycosphaerellaceae
Description: tRNA-Ser (ACT) (tRNA-Ser-ACT-1-1)
Rfam family: tRNA
About the family: Transfer RNA (tRNA) molecules are approximately 80 nucleotides in length. Their secondary structure includes four short double-helical elements and three loops (D, anti-codon, and T loops).
Source: RNAcentral